Molecule: ribosomal RNA, 915 nt
Filed under: Triticum aestivum (bread wheat)
Lineage: Eukaryota; Viridiplantae; Streptophyta; Magnoliopsida; Poales; Poaceae
Description: partial small subunit ribosomal RNA
Source: RNAcentral
AAAAAAAAGAGCCCACUCCCCCGGUCCGUUCCUCUCUCCCUCUCCCUCCCAAUCUCCCAUCUCGUCAUUGCGGAGGCAGCGACAGCGGCAGCGACGUCACCGGAGGGACGACCCGGCGGCGAGGACUACCUCUAUGGCGAGCGGAGUACUUCCUUUCCUCUCUCAUGCGGUAGGGAUUCAGAGGCGCCGUGGGUGGUGUAAGAUCCGGGCGAGCUCGGCAGCGACAAUGGCCUUCUCCGGCGUCCCUCUCCACCGGCGGCUGUAUUAUCGCCAGUAAGACCCCCCCAUCCUCCUCAACUUCCCCUAUCCUCUUCCAUGAAUUUUGAAUUUCUAGGUUUAGGGUUAUUGUUUUUUGGGAGCGGUGCAGGGGAAGAGGAAGAAAGACCAAGAAAUGAAAGGAUAGAAAAAUGAGGAGCUCAGGUGAUGGAGGUAAUGCUGGAGACGGGCUCCUGGCUGUGGGAUCAGAGGUGUAGAUCAUAGCGGAGGAGAUGAGCCAUGUGGAUGGCAUAGAAGAGGGGAGCUCAAGGCUGCGGAGACGAAGGAACAACAGUAGAGUAUCAGGCGCUUCGAUCUAGCUGAGAUCUUUUUUUGUUUGUCACGGCAAACGAGGAAUUGGAAUUCUGCCAAGAAAUCUAGGAGUGGAACAAUAUGUAUGCAAGGGACUUGGAGACGAGGCAAUGGUGCGCUGGCGAGAACACUAUUGUUCUGAUGCAUUAGGAUUGGGGUUCGGCUGCUCUUCAGUUUGUUAUAUCAAGGUUUUGAAGCUUUGGGAGCCUGCGGCCGGUUCGACGGGUGACAUCAGCAAGCGCCGGCCAGCCUCGGCACAGCUGCGGGUGGUUAUAUGGUGGGCGGAGUACACGAGUGGGUUCCGAUGUCAGGGUACGGUGGCAAGCUAAAUCCUGAGUCCAGCUAGGC